CAAUAGCGUAUAUUUAAGUUGCUGCAGUUAAAAAGCUCGUAGUUGGAUUUCGGGUGGGAAUGGCCGGUCCGCCGUUUCGGUGUGCACUUGCUACGCCCACCUUGCUGCCGGGGACGUGCUCUUGAGUUCACGCUCGGGACACGGAGUCGGCGAGGUUACUUUGAGUAAAUUAGAGUGUUCACAGCAGGCCUACGCUCUGAAUACAUUAGCAUGGAAUAACACGAUAGGACUCUGGCCUAUCUUGUUGGUCUGUAGGACCGGAGUAAUGAUUAAGAGGGACAGUCGGGGGCAUUCGUAUUUCAUUGUCAGAGGUGAAAUUCUUGGAUUUAUGAAAGACGAACUACUGCGAAAGCAUUUGCCAAGGAUGUUUUCAUUAA
This 377-nucleotide ribosomal RNA is filed under the name uncultured eukaryote. RNAcentral's name for it is "partial 18S ribosomal RNA". It matches the Rfam family "Eukaryotic small subunit ribosomal RNA", at positions 592 to 976 of the family's 1831-position model. The record is from RNAcentral.